RNAcentral lists this ribosomal RNA (441 nucleotides) under uncultured Pseudomonadota bacterium. RNAcentral describes it as "bacterial SSU rRNA". It matches the Rfam family "Bacterial small subunit ribosomal RNA", at positions 917 to 1359 of the family's 1533-position model. The record is from RNAcentral. Lineage: Bacteria; Pseudomonadati; Pseudomonadota.
GGACCCGCACAAGCAGUGGAACAUGUGGUUUAAUUCGAUAGUCCACGAAAACCUUACCAAAUCUUGACAUCCUGAUUACUGGUGUAGAAAUACACUAUACAUUUAGUUGAGUCAGAGACAGGUGAUGCAUGGCCGUCGUCAGCUCGUGCCGUGAGGUGUUAGGUUAAGUCCUUUAACGAGCGCAACCCACGUCUUUAUUUGCUAACAGGUAAUGCUGAGAACUAUAAAGAGACCGCUAUUGAUAAAAUAGAGGAAGGUGUGGAUGAUGUCAGGUCAUCACGUCCCUUAUGAUUUGGGCUACACAUGUGUUACAAUGGUGAUUACAAAGAGAUGCAAUGAUGUGAAUCGGAGCCAAUCUUAAAAAUCAUCUCAGUUCGGAUUACAGGCUGCAACUCGCCUGUAUGAAGUUGGAAUUGCUAGUAAUCGUAGAUCAGCACGCUA